Solanum verrucosum is the source of this 1061-nucleotide RNA transcript. It is a transcript of the gene named OVARIAN TUMOR DOMAIN-containing deubiquitinating enzyme 3, with no coding region annotated. The record is from RefSeq and is a predicted model, not a curated record. The transcript has 9 exons. NCBI's taxonomy places the organism in Eukaryota, Viridiplantae, Streptophyta, Magnoliopsida, Solanales, Solanaceae.
GAGAGGAUAAAUCAUUAGCCUAGAAGUUAGACGGCCGUUUUUGGAGUAAGCACUGAACUGCUUUCAUGGCGGCCAUGCUCUCUAAUGAAAUGGUGCUUGAUGAGCUGAGACAUGGAUUCGCCCAGUUUGAGCUGGUUACUUCUCUAGUUGCUUCAGUUUCUGCUUCCAGUUAUAGACCUUAUCAAAGAGGAAAACCAUUUGCCCUUUCUGCUGGCGCCACCGGUCAUCAAUUUUUUGCCAGAAUAGGACCUUCACUAGGUGGAGCUUCGCCAGCCUUAAAGAAAGUAGAACGUUAUUCAGUACAGAAAAUAACAGGUGAUGGGCGCUGCAUGUUUCGUGCUAUGGUAAAAGGGAUGGCUUUCAACAAAGGCGUGAAACUUCACCCUCGAGAUGAAAGAGAUGAUGCAGAUGAAUUAAGGAUGGCUGUAAAGGAGGCUAUUUGUGAUGAUGAGAAAGAACGUCUUAAAUAUGAGGAGGCCUUGGUUGCCAUUACAGUUGAGGAGUCUUUGAGACGAUAUUGCCAACGUAUCGGACGGUCUGAUUUCUGGGGAGGAGAGUCAGAGCUAUUGGUAUUAUCGAAGUUGUGUUGCCAGCCAAUUAUGGUAUACAUACCAGAACAGGAGGUACUGCGUUUGCAGUAAGUCCUGACAUAAUGUGGAAAAGAGGUUGAAAAUGUCAUUUUCACCUUGAAGACAUGCUACCUAGUUGAUCGAUCAAGGCCUAGACCGUAAGACUACAAUUGCAUAAUGGUUGAAAGUUAUCAAACCUUUGUUUUCUUAGCUGCAUGGAGGAAGGGGCUCUGGUUUCAUUCCAAUUGCAGAAUAUGGAGCUGAGUUCCGUAAAGGUUCGAAAAACAGAAAGGCCAGGAAGGCUGUGAGGCUCCUUUAUAGUGGGAGGAACCAUUAUGACCUACUUGUAUAGCAACUUUCCUCACUUUUCAACAGAAUUUUAGCACUGUAAUCUUUUCAAAAUUUUGUAGCAAAUGUCGUGUACACAAUAUUGUUAAUCUGAUGUAUUUCCUUAACUUCAAAAUUAGUAGUAAAUUUUUAAAAGAAAACUGA